Oreochromis aureus is the source of this 1243-nucleotide long non-coding RNA. Lineage: Eukaryota; Metazoa; Chordata; Actinopteri; Cichliformes; Cichlidae. The record is from Ensembl.
AUGCUUAUAUCAAACAACCUGAGUCUGUCACUGAGUCUGUCUGUCAGCCACUGGGAGCAGUGUGUAGGGACGGUACCUCAGGGUAGCCACUGAUUCGAAUGUAAUGUUCUCCCAGAUACAUCACACGGAACUGAAACGACAGUUUUCUUCGCUAAAAGUCAAACAAAUGACAUCAAAUAAAGAUUUUCUCUAUUUCUGUCCAACAUGCUGUCCACCAUCGCUUUAGCUGUCAUGGUUGCUUGGCAACAGAAACCGUCGCAGGCUAGACCGUCAAUUCACUUCCAGUCUUCUCGGCCUUUUAAUGAUCCGGCUCUGUGACGUCACAGUCACCCUGGUAACUCCCAAAAGCUGAGCGACAACAGGAGAGAUGAGUCCUCCGUCACAGAUGGUUGGUCAGUGAAGAUGGUCGCCUGCAGGUUCAAGCUCAUUGCAUCUCCAACCCACAUCCACUGCCACUGUACUUAAGGGAAGGUAAAGACUUUCUUCUGCACCUACAUUUGGAUCACCUCGAUCCAUGACAGUCAUUCAGGCAGUAAUGCCUGGACUGGAAACAAGCCAUCCUUAAAAUAAUACAACAUACCAGCUUCUGUGUUUGAAUGCAAAACAAAUGUGUUGUUUAAACUAGAGACUGCACUUGUGACUGAACAAUAAAUACAUUUAUUUCGAUUAUAUAAGUAAUGUAAGUACAAAACAGAUGUGUAAAGCCUGAAUGUAGUUUCAGAAUAAUUAAAUCUGAGACUUUGUUUCAUUUACACAUUCUAACAAUGAUGGUAAUAUAAUUGUUUGUUGUUCAGCAGAACAGUGUCCAGUAUGUUGGUUCAUAUACUUCAUUACAUUUGAAAAUAAAAUUUGGGCUGAUUUUAACACCAUUACAAGAAGUGUAGUUAAUUAUUCUUUUUGAAUCAUAUUUGCAUUCAGUGUUAUAUUAAUAUAAAACAUAAUGUGAUUGUAAAAAAAGAAUAAAGUAAGUUAGCACAAAUAGUUUUUUAAUUUAGUAGAACUUGAAAUGUUUGACAGAAAGUAAACAUUUAGUACUGCACAGUCAGAAACAUCAAGUUAUUCUUAGUACUGCAUACUUGCAAUGAAUAAGUUGUCCUAACAUAGUUUUACUAAGUAAGCUUUACUCCAUUUUUUGAGUUCUGGGAACUAAUUGGAUUUUGCAGUGAGACUGUUUUUAUUUGAUAGUGUUUUAUUUUGGGGAGUGCAGACUUGCAGCUUUAACUGUUCAGGACCUGCAGAUAUU